Molecule: ribosomal RNA, 712 nt
Filed under: uncultured bacterium
Lineage: Bacteria
Description: bacterial SSU rRNA
Rfam family: Bacterial small subunit ribosomal RNA
Source: RNAcentral
CCUGGUAGUCCAUGCCGUAAACGAUGAUUACUUAGGUGUGGGAGGAUUGACCCCUUCCGUGCCGCAGUUAACACAAUAAGUAAUCCACCUGGGGAGUACGACCGCAAGGUUGAAACUCAAAGGAAUUGACGGGGGCCCGCACAAGCAGUGGAGUAUGUGGUUUAAUUCGAAGCAACGCGAAAAACCUUACCAGGUCUUGACAUCCCGUGCAUAGCUAAGAGAUUAGUGAAGUCCUUCGGGACACGGAGACAGGUGGUGCAUGGUUGUCGUCAGCUCGUGUCGUGAGAUGUUGGGUUAAGUCCCGCAACGAGCGCAACCCUUAUCUUUAGUUACUACGCAAGAGGACUCUAGAGAGACUGCCGUUGACAAAACGGAGGAAGGUGGGGAUGACGUCAAAUCAUCAUGCCCUUUAUGACCUGGGCCACACACGUACUACAAUGGCAAUUAACAAAGAGAAGCGAAACCGCGAGGUGGAGCGAACCUCAUAAAAAUUGUCUCAGUUCGGAUCGCAGGCUGCAACCCGCCUGCGUGAAGCCGGAAUUGCUAGUAAUCGCGGAUCAGCAUGCCGCGGUGAAUACGUUCCCGGGCCUUGUACACACCGCCCGUCACACCAUGAGAGCCGGGGGGACCCGAAGUCGGUAGUCUAACCGCAAGGAGGACGCCGCCGAAGGUAAAACUGGUGAUUGGGGUGAAGUCGUAACAAGGUAGCCGU